This 481-nucleotide ribosomal RNA is filed under the name uncultured bacterium. Its description in RNAcentral is "bacterial SSU rRNA". It matches the Rfam family "Bacterial small subunit ribosomal RNA", at positions 76 to 553 of the family's 1533-position model. The record is from RNAcentral.
CUUGCUAGAUUGAUGGCGAGUGGCGAACGGGUGAGUAAUACAUCGGAACGUGCCCUGUAGUGGGGGAUAACUAGUCGAAAGAUUAGCUAAUACCGCAUACGACCUGAGGGUGAAAGUGGGGGACCGCAAGGCCUCAUGCUAUAGGAGCGGCCGAUGUCUGAUUAGCUAGUUGGUGGGGUAAAGGCCCACCAAGGCGACGAUCAGUAGCUGGUCUGAGAGGACGAUCAGCCACACUGGGACUGAGACACGGCCCAGACUCCUACGGGAGGCAGCAGUGGGGAAUUUUGGACAAUGGGCGAAAGCCUGAUCCAGCAACGCCGCGUGUGUGAAGAAGGCCUUCGGGUUGUAAAGCACUUUUGUCCGGAAAGAAAUGGCUCUGGUUAAUACCUGGGGUCGAUGACGGUACCGGAAGAAUAAGGACCGGCUAACUACGUGCCAGCAGCCGCGGUAAUACGUAGGGUCCAAGCGUUAAUCGGAAUUA